ACGGGGCAAUUGCCUUAGUAGCGGCGAGUGAAGCGGCAAAAGCUCAAAUUUGAAAUCUGGCGCCUUCGGUGUCCGAGUUGUAAUUUGAAGAUUGUAACCUUGGGGUUGGCUCUUGUCUAUGUUUCUUGGAACAGGACGUCACAGAGGGUGAGAAUCCCGUGCGAUGAGAUGCCCAAUUCUAUGUAAGGUGCUUUCGAAGAGUCGAGUUGUUUGGGAAUGCAGCUCUAAGUGGGUGGUAAAUUCCAUCUAAAGCUAAAUAUUGGCGAGAGACCGAUAGCGAACAAGUACAGUGAUGGAAAGAUGAAAAGAACUUUGAAAAGAGAGUGAAAAAGUACGUGAAAUUGUUGAAAGGGAAGGGUUUGAGAUCAGACUCGAUAUUUUGUGAGCCUUGCCUUCGUGGCGGGGUGACCCGCAGCUUAUCGGGCCAGCAUCGGUUUGGGCGGUAGGAUAAUGGCGUAGGAAUGUGACUUUACUUCGGUGAAGUGUUAUAGCCUGCGUUGAUGCUGCCUGCCUAGACCGAGGACUGCGAUUUUAUCAAGGAUGCUGGCAUAAUGAUCCCAAACCGCCCGUCUUGAAAMMMSRGGACCAA
This 589-nucleotide ribosomal RNA is filed under the name Meyerozyma guilliermondii. Its description in RNAcentral is "partial large subunit ribosomal RNA". It matches the Rfam family "Eukaryotic large subunit ribosomal RNA", at positions 68 to 669 of the family's 3401-position model. Lineage: Eukaryota; Fungi; Ascomycota; Pichiomycetes; Serinales; Debaryomycetaceae. The record is from RNAcentral.